UACGUAGGGGGCAAGCGUUGUCCGGAUUUAUUGGGCGUAAAGAGCGUGUAGGCGGUUUUACAGGUCCGUUGUGAAAACUCGAGGCUCAACCUCGAGACGCCGAUGGAAACCAUCUGACUAGAGUCCGGAAGAGGAGAGUGGAAUUCCUGGUGUAGCGGUGAAAUGCGCAGAUAUCGGGAAGAACACCCGUGGCGAAGGCGGCACUCUGGGACGGUACUGACGCUGAGACGCGAAAGCGUGGGGAGCGAACAGG
This 253-nucleotide ribosomal RNA is filed under the name uncultured bacterium. Its description in RNAcentral is "partial 16S ribosomal RNA". It matches the Rfam family "Bacterial small subunit ribosomal RNA", at positions 524 to 776 of the family's 1533-position model. The record is from RNAcentral.